GGGGAUUUAGCUCAGUGGCAUAAGCGCCUGCGUUGCAAGCAGGGAGUCGUGGGUUCAAUCCCCGCUACCG
Molecule: non-coding RNA, 70 nt
Organism: Cavia porcellus (domestic guinea pig)
Lineage: Eukaryota; Metazoa; Chordata; Mammalia; Rodentia; Caviidae
Source: Rfam